UGCGGUUACAAAAAACACUGUUUUUUGAACGUUGGCUUUGCCAACGGCCCCGAUAGGGGUGAACAAGUUUGUAUGCAAACUUGUGAAUAAUUU
Molecule: non-coding RNA, 93 nt
Filed under: Aggregatibacter kilianii
Lineage: Bacteria; Pseudomonadati; Pseudomonadota; Gammaproteobacteria; Pasteurellales; Pasteurellaceae
Description: Aggregatibacter sRNA 22
Rfam family: Aggregatibacter sRNA 22
Source: RNAcentral